AACGAACGCUGGCGGCAUGCCUAACACAUGCAAGUCGAACGAGACCUUCGUUUCUUGUUGCUCACGUUUUCGUAACGCCUUGUAACCUUCCCUUAUGUUCGGUAUCACUCCCCUUAAGGUGUGCUAAUACCGGUUAAUUUCUUCUGACCAAAGAUUUAUCGCCUUUGGAUGGGCCCGCGUUGGAUUAGCUAGUUGGUAGGGUAAAAGCCUACCAAGGCGACGAUCAAUAGCUGGUCUGAGAGGAUGAUCAGCCACACUGGGACUGAGACACGGACCAGACUAGUACGGGAGGGAGGAGAGGGGAAUAUAGGAAAAUGGGGGAAAGGAAGAAAAAGAAAGGGCGGGUGAGUGAAGAAGGGAUUAGGGAAGAAAAGCGAAAUUAGAAGGGAAGAUAAUGACAGUAACGGGAGAAUAAGCAACGGCUAACUACGUG
This 433-nucleotide ribosomal RNA is filed under the name uncultured bacterium. RNAcentral's name for it is "partial 16S ribosomal RNA". It matches the Rfam family "Bacterial small subunit ribosomal RNA", at positions 29 to 507 of the family's 1533-position model. The record is from RNAcentral.